Pantherophis guttatus is the source of this 864-nucleotide non-coding RNA. The record is from RefSeq and is a predicted model, not a curated record. Lineage: Eukaryota; Metazoa; Chordata; Lepidosauria; Squamata; Colubridae.
CAAGUCAAAAAGAAGACUCAAAGCGGUAUACAAAAGUAAAUAUUGAAAUGCCAGUUUGUUGAGUAAAUGUACAAAAAAGAAAAUAAAGCCAAGGUCUUAAAACUUUUCUAAAGCACAACUUGUAAAAGAGACAUGGGAAAUAAUGGCAUUCCAGAUGGCAGGAAUGGCAGUAGUUUGGAUUAAAAUUACCACUUUUCUGUUUCAUCAUAAACUAAGCUUGGAACCAAAGCUAUUUGCUUUGGAAUAAUUUGCUUUUCAUUUGUGCUGAAAGAGAAAAUAUGAGCUUUAUAACUCAUGGAAUUACAGAUAAAAUGUUAAUACCUUUCAUUGUGGAAGCCCUUCCUGCUCCCUUUUACAGGGUGGUUUUAUAAAUGGUGUUUACCUAUGAAAAAACUUAGAUUAAUUUAGCUUGAGUUUGUAUUUGUGUUACCUGUUUCUUGCAGGACUGCAAAAUGUAUUAACCUUUAACUUCAAACUGUAUAUUACAUUGCAUAGGGUUUAAAGCAGGGCCGAGUGGAAGCUACCUUGGGAAGACACAGUCACUUGAAAUAAGUCUGAUGCUUAUUCUGGACAAAUUGAGUAACAUUCAGAUAAAUUCUGACAUGCUGAUUCUUAGAGUCAACUUAGACGAAGUUGAAGACGAAGACUAAUCUUCACUGCUAGCUCCACAGCAACAUUAUUUUGAUGUAUUCCAUGUUGUAGUUGUGGACAACAGCAAUGACCUAAGUGAAAAACUCUAUUCAAGCAUAGAUUAUCCAGGAUCCAGGACUAGAACAACUCUUCUGUCAGUUAAGGGAAUGGUUGCUUGUUAUCACUCAACUGAUUUGAAAUACUGGUCAAUAAAAUUAACUUUUUCCAAAUUGA